GACGAACGCUGGCGGCGUGCUUAACACAUGCAAGUCGAACGGUGAAGCUCCAGCUUGCUGGAGUGGAUCAGUGGCGAACGGGUGAGUAACACGUGAGCAACCUGCCCCUGACUCUGGAGUAAGCGCUGGAAACGGCGUCUAAUACUGGAUACGAGAAGGGUCCGCAUGGGGACUUUCUGGAAAGUUUUUCGGUUGGGGAUGGGCUCGCGGGCUCUCAGCUUGUUGGUGAGGUAAUGACUCACCAAGGCGACGACGGGUAGCCGGCCUGAGAGGGCGACCGGCCACACUGGGACUGAGACACGGCCCAGACUCCUACGGGAGGCAGCAGUGGGGAAUAUUGCACAAUGGGCGAAAGCCUGAUGCAGCGACGCCGCGUGAGGGAUGACGGCCUUCGGGUUGUAAACCUCUUUCAGCAGGGAAGAAGCGAAAGUGACGGUACCUGCAGAAGAAGCACCGGCUAACUACGUG
Molecule: ribosomal RNA, 468 nt
Filed under: uncultured bacterium
Lineage: Bacteria
Description: partial 16S ribosomal RNA
Rfam family: Bacterial small subunit ribosomal RNA
Source: RNAcentral